RNAcentral lists this long non-coding RNA (555 nucleotides) under Ananas comosus (pineapple). Its description in RNAcentral is "long non-coding RNA (ACOM_LNC035401)". The record is from RNAcentral. Lineage: Eukaryota; Viridiplantae; Streptophyta; Magnoliopsida; Poales; Bromeliaceae.
AUUGUUAGGAUUCGUCCACAUUGGGACUUAUCUAAAAUAUUUCUAAUCCAUAUGGGAUAAGAAAUAAAUAUUUACAAUUAUCUGUUAUAUUCCUAGUCCACUUGGGAUAAAGAAUAAAUCUAACAGAUAAAUUCUAAUCUGUUUAAAUCUCUAUCUAUGUGAGAUUUAGUUUGAAUAUGAUUAGGAUUAAUAUCUCCCUGAUGGCCUAUAAAUACAUGAGGUAUUGACCACAUACAAAACACAACAAAAAAAAAAUAAAACAUAAUCAUCUCCACAAAAAAUUCUCUCUUUUGGGUUCGCUCUAGGGCACCAUCAUAAACCCUAGGGAUUUGGGCGGUGUGCGGCGAUCGACUCUAGUAGCCGGAUUGCAACGAGAAAGAACAACACGCAACAAAUUGAGACAGGACGUUGGCGGAUCAACGAGUUCGUAAAACAAGACGAGAUCAGAUCCUGAUAAUCACAAUAUUAAUUCCGCACCAUAAAGAGGUAUGUAAAAAUCUAUGUGAUUUCUGCGAUGAUUGAUUUUUGGGUAUUUAUUUAAUUUUAUCCAACAAU